This 1486-nucleotide ribosomal RNA is filed under the name Anaerolineales bacterium JdFR-64. Its description in RNAcentral is "bacterial SSU rRNA". It matches the Rfam family "Bacterial small subunit ribosomal RNA". The record is from RNAcentral. Lineage: Bacteria; Bacillati; Chloroflexota; Anaerolineae; Anaerolineales.
AGAGUUUGAUCCUGGCUCAGGAUGAACGCUAGCGGCGCGCCUAACACAUGCAAGUCGAGCGGGAUCCCCUGGAUUCGUCCGGGGGUGAGAGCGGCGGACGGGUGAGUAACACGUAGGUGACCUGCCCCGAAGAGGGGGAUAACCACUGGAAACGGUGGCUAAUACCCCAUGUGCUCCGCGGUGUUAGAGGACCACGGAGUAAAGCCCCGGCGCUUCGGGAUGGGCCUGCGGCCUAUCAGCUAGUUGGUGGGGUAAUGGCUCACCAAGGCUAUGACGGGUAGGGGGCGUGAGAGCGUGGCCCCCCACACUGGCACUGAGACACGGGCCAGACUCCUACGGGAGGCAGCAGUGAGGAAUAUUGCGCAAUGGGCGAAAGCCUGACGCAGCGACGCCGCGUGGGCGAAGAAGGCCUUCGGGUUGUAAAGCCCUUUUCUGGGGGAUGAGGAAGGACAUUACCCCAGGAAGAAGCCUCGGCUAACUACGUGCCAGCAGCCGCGGUAAAACGUAGGAGGCGAGCGUUAUCCGGAUUCACUGGGCGUAAAGAGCGCGUAGGCGGUGCAAGAAGUCGGGCGUGAAAUCUCCCGGCUCAACCGGGAGGGGCCGUCCGAUACUCUUGCGCUUGAGGGCAGGAGAGGGGGGUGGAAUUCCCGGUGUAGCGGUGAAAUGCGUGGAUAUCGGGAGGAACACCAGUGGCGAAGGCGGCCCCCUGGCCUGCGCCUGACGCUGAGGCGCGAAAGCUAGGGGAGCGAACGGGAUUAGAUACCCCGGUAGUCCUAGCCGUAAACGGUGGAUACUAGGUAUCGGUGGCUUAAAAAACCAUCGGUGCCGAAGCUAACGCGAUAAGUAUCCCGCCUGGGGACUACGAGCGCAAGCUUAAAACUCAAAGGAAUUGACGGGGGCCCGCACAAGCAGCGGAGCGUGUGGUUUAAUUCGAUGCAAAACGAAGAACCUUACCAGGGCUUGACAUGCGGGUGGUAGUGAGGCGAAAGCUGAACGACCCUUCGGGGAGCCCGCACAGGUGCUGCAUGGCUGUCGUCAGCUCGUGCCGUGAGGUGUUAGGUUAAGUCCUGUAACGAGCGCAACCCUCGCUGCCAGUUACAUGUGUCUGGCGGGACUGCCGAGGUAACUCGGAGGAAGGUGGGGAUGACGUCAAGUCAGCAUGGCCUUUAUGUCCUGGGCUACACACACGCUACAAUGGCCGGUACAAUGGGUUGCCAAGCCGCGAGGCGGAGCCAAUCCCAAAAAGCCGGUCUCAGUUCGGAUUGGAGUCUGCAACCCGACUCCAUGAAGCCGGAGUUGCUAGUAACCGCCGGUCAGCCAUACGGCGGUGAAUACGUUCCCGGGCCUUGUACACACCGCCUGUCACGUCAUGGGAGUCGGCAACACCUGAAGCCGGUGGGCUAACCGAAAGGAGGCAGCCGUCUAGGGUGGGGUCGGCGACUGGGACGAAGUCAUAACAAGGUAGCCGUAGCGGAAGCUGCGGCUG